This 497-nucleotide ribosomal RNA is filed under the name uncultured bacterium. RNAcentral describes it as "partial 16S ribosomal RNA". It matches the Rfam family "Bacterial small subunit ribosomal RNA", at positions 28 to 507 of the family's 1533-position model. The record is from RNAcentral.
GAUGAACGCUGGCGGCGUGCCUAAUACAUGCAAGUCGAGCGAACAGACGAGGAGCUUGCUCCUCUGACGUUAGCGGCGGACGGGUGAGUAACACGUGGAUAACCUACCUAUAAGACUGGGAUAACUUCGGGAAACCGGAGCUAAUACCGGAUAAUAUAUUGAACCGCAUGGUUCAAUAGUGAAAGACGGUUUUGCUGUCACUUAUAGAUGGAUCCGCGCCGCAUUAGCUAGUUGGUAAGGUAACGGCUUACCAAGGCAACGAUGCGUAGCCGACCUGAGAGGGUGAUCGGGCACCCUGGAACUGAGACACGGUCCAGACACCUACGGGAGGCAGCAGUAGGGAAUCUUACGCAAUGGGGGAAAGCCUGACGGAGCAACGCCGCGUGAGUGAUGAAGGUCUUCGGAUCGUAAAACUCUGUUAUUAGGGAAGAACAAAUGUGUAAGUAACUAUGCACGUCUUGACGGUACCUAAUCAGAAAGCCACGGCUAACUACGUG